Molecule: ribosomal RNA, 465 nt
Filed under: Vreelandella stevensii
Lineage: Bacteria; Pseudomonadati; Pseudomonadota; Gammaproteobacteria; Oceanospirillales; Halomonadaceae
Description: partial 16S ribosomal RNA
Rfam family: Bacterial small subunit ribosomal RNA
Source: RNAcentral
CCUACGGGGGGCUGCAGUGGGGAAUAUUGGACAAUGGGCGAAAGCCUGAUCCAGCCAUGCCGCGUGUGUGAAGAAGGCCUUCGGGUUGUAAAGCACUUUCAGUGGGGAAGAAAGCCUUGGGGCUAAUACCCUCGAGGAAGGACAUCACCCACAGAAGAAGCACCGGCUAACUCCGUGCCAGCAGCCGCGGUAAUACGGAGGGUGCGAGCGUUAAUCGGAAUUACUGGGCGCAAAGCGCGCGUAGGCGGUCUGAUAAGCCGGUUGUGAAAGCCCCGGGCUCAACCUGGGAACGGCAUCCGGAACUGUCAGGCUAGAGUGCAGGAGAGGAAGGUAGAAUUCCCGGUGUAGCGGUGAAAUGCGUAGAGAUCGGGAGGAAUACCAGUGGCGAAGGCGGCCUUCUGGACUGACACUGACGCUGAGGUGCGAAAGCGUGGGUAGCAAACAGGAUUAGAUACCCCAGUAGUC